GUUAGUACAAGUAGUGCCAAACCAUCGUGAAUUGUUAUGAAACUUUAGAUAAGUAUUGAAGAAAAAUAUGAUCAACCUGAUCAUAUGCUGAAGAUACAGUCAAACAAGAUCAAUAAAAAGGUUCCUAUAAGAUAAAAGGACAAGAAGAAAGAAAGAAAGAAACGUCUUCAACAAAUAUCAGGAAAUGAUCAAAACAAAGAGAAGGCGAUCAGAAAGGACCAUUCUGAUAAGUCUGAUAAUAAUCUGGUAUUUAUGAUCAGAAUCAGGUAACUCUGAUCAUUAGAAUUUCUAAUGAUCAAUCUCAACAGGAUUCUGGUAAGCUGGUCAUCAGAAUUUCUAGAGGACCAACUUGUCUUAAAGAUAAGGCCCUGAAACAGUUUCAGCAAUAAAUGGUUCAUCAAAGAAUAGGGCAAGAAGAAGAAAGGAAAGAAAUGUCACACCCCCAAAAUCCACAUGCGGAGUAUCACCGCUUGGAGCCGUGACAUGACCAGGAUCAAGCCACCAAUCAUAUUGAACAAGCAUGUAAUUGCAAGCGGAAGCAUUAUGUCUAAAACCAAAUCAUAAGUUUAAAUGUUUCAAAUGUUUAGCAUGGCACACAGCUGUCCAUGUCCCACAACGACUCUUCCCACUCCCAUGCAAGCUCCAUAGAUGCCUAACGACCUGCAAGGCAUGUAACAGAGAGUCAACAACAAAGUUGA
Molecule: long non-coding RNA, 698 nt
Filed under: Helianthus annuus (common sunflower)
Lineage: Eukaryota; Viridiplantae; Streptophyta; Magnoliopsida; Asterales; Asteraceae
Source: RNAcentral